GAUGAAGAACGUAGCGAAAUGCGAUAAGUAGUGUGAAUUGCAGAAUUCAGUGAAUCAUCGAAUCUUUGAACGCACAUUGCGCCCCUCGGUAUUCCGUGGGGCACGCCUGUUCGAGCGUCAUUUACACCCUCAAGCGCAGCUUGGUGUUGGGCGUCUGUCCCGCUCUCCGUAGCGCGGACUCGCCUCAAAGUCAUUGGUGGCGGUCGUGCCGGCUCCUCGCGCAGCACAUUUGCGCUUCUCGGAGGCCCGGCGGAUCGGCAUCCAGCAAGCUACUUUUUAUGACUUGACCUCGGAUCAGGUGAGGAUACCCGCUGAACUUAAGCAUAUCAAUAAGCGGAGGA
Molecule: unclassified non-coding RNA, 341 nt
Filed under: soil metagenome
Description: partial contains 5.8S ribosomal RNA, internal transcribed spacer 2, and large subunit ribosomal RNA
Rfam family: 5.8S ribosomal RNA (bases 1-120)
Source: RNAcentral